RNAcentral lists this ribosomal RNA (253 nucleotides) under uncultured bacterium. Its description in RNAcentral is "partial 16S ribosomal RNA". It matches the Rfam family "Bacterial small subunit ribosomal RNA", at positions 524 to 776 of the family's 1533-position model. The record is from RNAcentral.
UACGUAGGGGGCAAGCGUUGUCCGGAUUUAUUGGGCGUAAAGAGCGUGUAGGCGGCCAGAUCGGUCAGCUGUGAAAACUCGAGGCUCAACCUCGAGAUGUCGGCUGAAACCAUCUGGCUAGAGUCCGGAAGAGGAGAAUGGAAUUCCCGGUGUAGCGGUGAAAUGCGCAGAUAUCGGGAAGAACACCCGUGGCGAAGGCGGUUCUCUGGGACGGUACUGACGCUGAGACGCGAAAGCGUGGGGAGCGAACAGG